GAAGAUUUUCUAAUGGCUGGUGUUGAGGCACUGAUGACCAAGAUUUGGAUCCUUUUGAAGAAAGGCUGGGAUCCUAAAGGGAAUUUCCAUCCUACUUGUGUGGCUGAAUGACAUCUUCAACCAAUUUUGGUACAUUUGCCAGAAAGCACAACAUCGUGAUAUGUUUAAUGACAUGUGGGUGGGUGUGCUUCACCAUGUCACAGGGAAGCAUGAAUGGACCCGUGGCAAAUGUGACCAUGGACCACUUGAUGCAACGACCAGUGAUAAAGAGCUCAUGGUACCAUGAUCUCCACCACACGAGGCUCUUCAACGAAUCAUGUUCAACAGACGCUGGUUGAAGGAUGUCACCAAUCUGACCUUUAGGUAUAUUAAUAACAUUUUCAUAAGCAAAAAAGCUAAAGUGUCAAUAUCAAAGCUGAAAAUUUACAUAUAGAAAUGACAAUUGUGGGUGAAAAGGCAAUCAA
Non-coding RNA from Nothobranchius furzeri (turquoise killifish), 464 nucleotides. The record is from RefSeq and is a predicted model, not a curated record. NCBI's taxonomy places the organism in Eukaryota, Metazoa, Chordata, Actinopteri, Cyprinodontiformes, Nothobranchiidae.